GACAAAGUUACUGUGUUGUACUCACUGAAACUCUUGUUUCAAGCAAUGGUAUCUUUUAGCCAAGACGGAGUCUGAGAAGCUAGCGUGGAGUCUCUCCAAGGAGUACGGCCUUGACCUCAUCACGAUCUGCCCCUCGUACGUGUUUGGCCCGAUGCUCCAGCCAACGCUGAAUUCCAGCAGUGCGGUCUUGAAGGCUCUCGUGGAUGGUUUGUGCUUUAAAAAUGCUUCAGAAGCCUGAUCGAUGUGUCUUGUUUCCCCAGGUCAUGAAAGCAGCUACCGCGAUUCCUCCAUUCCGGUUGUGGACGUGAGGGACGUCUCGAAAGCUCACAUUCUGGCCAUGGACAAGGAGGAGGCCUCGGGCCGCUAUCUCUGCGUGGAAAGGGUUGUGUCCAACAGCGAGAUUAUCAAGAUUCUCAGGGCCAAGUUCCCGCAGCUUUCAUAUCCAAAAGAGUAAGCGUCUCUAGUUCCUUUCUUCCGAUAUCUAUAAAGCUAGAAACUCUAGGUGCGUUGCUGAGACGAGCGUUUGGAACCAAUCGGGAAUCCGUCCCGACAAUCUGGGAAGAGAGAAGCUCUUGGGGCUAAUCACUGAGUUUGACAUACCAUUGGAACGGAUGCUGUUUGACACUGUUUCCGACAUGCUAAACAAGGGACUGUUAAGAGCCAUCUGAUUUACCGGAGAGAUUAGAAACAUCGGGUCUACCAUCUCCCAUAUAAGGACUUCAAUUUGUGUCCUGGAAAAUGAAACAAGUUCCUGUUUGUGUUUAUUCUCUCUCUACAGAUUACUGGCUCCAAGUCUUUAGGUGUGAAAGAACUUGCUUGAAGAGACUGAGAUCUACACUCCCAAAUAAAGAACCCACCAAAACCAAGAACAAAAACUCCAAGAGCACAAGAAUAUCAUGCUUCAUCAAAGUCGCAUAGUCUCAAAGCCUUCAACCGAAGCUUAAAUCGUCCGGGUGCCGCACAAGCUAGCUCGAUGUUGCUGUGUUUCUCCAGUCCAUAAUUCACGAUAUCACUCGAGACACGUUUGGUUGCCUGGUCAGAAAGUUCUCGAGGAAGACUGAGGCUAAAACCACCAAAAAUCUCGAAGACUGUCACCUGUGGUUUCGAUCUUGAUGCAAACUCUUCUCUCCACGCCACCAAUCUUCCGCUGCUCACAACCCUCCUCACUUGCUCCUCAUCGAAGCCAAAGUGGCGGUACCACGAAAGCACCAGCGCUUGGGACGCAGGAUUGAGCACUGCCAGCGGCGGCGACCACGGCAAAAAUCCUUGCUUCUCCGUGUCUAGCAGCUCGAUCUCUGGAUUGAAGCGUCUCAUCGCCGCCAGACCCAAGCUAUAGAUGCUCUCGCUGUUGGUUUUGUUGUGAUGUAAAAAGGGAUGGACAUAACACUCAUGAGCUCGACAUGACUCAAGGGACAUGACUCAUGACCACGUGGACAUGCCACGUCAGCUGAUCGAGACUGACAUCUCGACACUCCCACUCUGGCUCGAUCAGCUGAGAGGAUGGACUACCCAUCCCACUCAGCCGAAACAGAUGGAGAGCAGACUCCCAGUGCAGCGCGAUGGCGUUCAAAGGAGUCUCGAGCCAAAGCCUUCGUGAGUAUAUCAGCCACCAUUGCCUCGGUGGGGCAAUAUUCCAGCAACAACUUUCCAUUUUGGACUUGUUCCCGCACGUAGUGGAAACGAAUCUCGAUGUGUUUCGUCCGAGAAUGGAAUCCCAGCUUCAGCACAAAACGUCUCGAAUUCGCCAGAGACGAAUUCUCCUCCACGAUCGCAGCGGAGCACACGAACUAAACAGCCGUGUAGAUUUUCUGCCAAAGCCUUGUAUUGGCUAAAACAGGAGAACACUUCUGAUUUAUGAGCCAGCAGGUACACGAUCAGGUACCGCGUGUAAUCAUCCAGGAAGGUGACUACGUAACGUUUGCCUCCCAAAGAUUCAACCAUAAUCGAACAAACGUCCGAGUGUACCAACUCAAGAACAGAACUUGCUCGAGAAUGAGAAAUCUGUGGAAAAGGAAAAACGUAGUGUUUUCCACCAACACAAGCUUCGCAGAAGGGCAGCGCGCUCCCAGGCGCCCCAGGAACAUCCACCUUUUUUAGCUGUUGCUCGUUCACGUGACCAAGGCGCUGGUGCCAGGUUGCAAGUGUCGGUGGAACCCGAGCCAUCAGCGCCACAGGUGGAAGGAUCACGUGAGCAUCCAGGCGGUAGAGCGUAUCAACUGGAACUCCAAAAGCGACCUUGUCUCCAGUCUCGGCAUCCAGCACGAACGCUCCCUGUGCUGUGAACAGAGUAUCGAAGCCUACUUGAGCAGCAGUUCCAAUCGACAGCAGCGUGUGUGUAAGUCCCGGAACAUAAGAUACAGGAUAGAUCUCCCGGAUUUCUCCAGAAGAGAGCUGAACCCUGAUUGUUCCUUUGCCUAGUACGUCGUGAGCAGAGGAGUCACCGAGUCCCACGGCGUCACUCUCACACGGUUCUUGGUAGUCAAAAAACAAGGAAGCCAUGGGCGUCAUAUGGAAUGACGCUCCAGAAUCCAGCCACAGCUCUGGUCCGAGCACGGGCUGGUGGCUGCUGCUUGCAGAGCGAGCCAUCAAGAGCUUACGAGGAGUCCCAGAGCCCUUGUCUUUGUUUCCUUUGUCUUUGUUCUUGGCAGCUUUAACACGAUCAGCUUUCUUCUUCUUGCAAUCCCUCGCCAAGUGUCCAGGUUUGUGGCAAUAGUGACAAAUGCCACGAAAACCAGUGUCGUUCGGCUGAGCUUGAGAGGACGAGGAUGAUCCUCCCGCAGCGCCAGCAUAAAGCAAGGAAGAUUUGGCAGAGGGCAUCGCUUCUUUCUUCCCCUUCAUCUUGCGUUCUUCUUCAAGUAGGGCACCCACGACUUGAUCAAAGUUCAUGGCCAUGUGAGAUAGAACAGAUGCGAGCGUGCUAAACGCAGGCGUGACGGUUGCAAGCAGCAACGCCCUGGCGCGAUCAUCCGUGACAGGAGACCCAGCACCAGUCAAUUCAGCCAUUAGCCCUCGAAUCCGUCCCACGUACACAGCAAUGGUUUCACCCGUUUCCAUGUGAAGCGCCAAGAAUUGUUGAUUCAGCAACAUGGAAGAAUUGGCGGCUUGGGCCACGAAGAUCGUGCAAAGCGACGUCCAGAUUUCAGCAGCGGUCUUGGUGAGAUCAAUCAGUGGCAAGAAUUCAUCGCUCAAUCCCAAGCCAAUGACGGUGAUGGCUUGCUGAUUGCGAAAAUCCCAAUCUGAUUGUAGCGUCUGCUCAGCGGGACGAGGCUCAGUCCCAUCAACGAUGUUCCACGCUCGUUUCGCAGAGAGGAUCAGCCUGAUUCGUGUCGCCCAUGUGAAGAAAUUCGUGCCACUGAAUUUCUCCACCUUCUCUGUGGAAGCCACGAGAACUUGAGCAGCAACCGGUGGCGGCGGCGGCGGCAGCAGCGGCGGUGGUGGUGGGGGCGGCGGAGGUGGUGGUGGGGUUGAAGCGGCCAUGACAGCAACGUCAAAUCAACCAACCAGGAUCGUCCCCGAAAUCCGAUACCAUGUUGUGGUGUAAAAAGGGAUGGACAUAACACUCAUGAGCUCGUUCAUUGUGUUCCGACUCUUUUUACACGACUCAAGGGACAUGACUCAUGACCACGUGGACAUGCCACGUCAGCUGAUCGAGACUGACAUCUCGACAGCCGGUACGUGCUCGGCUCCAAAUCCCACUGCAAGACCGUGAGAGCCUCCACCAGGCUCACAUCUCGCUCCUUGGAGGCCUCGAUGCACCACAAGAUCAUCCCCAGCACACGGACAAGGCUGUUGUCUCUUCGCACCUGGAAGAUCCCACACGGAUACGCAGCUCCAGCCCCUGUGAACUGGAACUCUCCACUGUAAACUGGCAAGAAGUUCCUCUCCUCUCCUGGAGCGCACACCGAGCAAGCCAUGUCGUCCACCAUGAUGGUUUGCUCCAUGUUCACCUCGAUCGCCAUGGGGAGAUCCCGGAGUCUUGAGCACUGUGAAUCCGUCCACCCGGUAGAGAUGGUUCUGCGAGAAGACACUGCAAUCCUUGAGGCCUCCUGCUGUGCAUGCUGGGAAAAUGUCGGCCAGGAGGCUUGCAACGAGCAGCGAGUUUCGCGAUUCCAGGACGAAGCUGAAGAAGCUGACGCUCAUACCUGGGAUUUGGCUGAGCGUGAGUAGAAACUCGCGGCAUCCAUGCAGCGGCGCGUAGGAAUCGCCACCGGCAGAGUGUUUGCCGCCGCGAUCGAGGCGAACAAGCGUCCGGUCGAGGUCCAAGAGCCUCAAUAACCCUAGAAUUUUUAUUAUUUUAGGAUGUUAGACGGCGAGGGUAUUGGAUGAGAAGCAAAGAGCUUUGGGCAAGCCUAUGCCCAACAUAAGAGAGAGACGAAAGGAGAAAUGGCAAAAGAAGCUUCUCAUCGCCCACCAGACUUCUGGAGAAAAGACCCCUCGUUCCAAAUCCAUUCUCACUCUUCCACUGGCUGGAGUUACACACUGAGCAAUAUUCUUCAAAAUACCCACUCAUUAUUUUUUUCUUGCCUUUGUCCUUUGAAAAGACCUUUUGAACUGUAGCCUCUCCGAUCACCAAUCUGCUAGUUUAUAUUGAUCUCAACAUGGAAUAGAUUUAGAGAUUCUCAUCCUGUAAACAUUUUUUCACUGUAGCUAAAUAGAAGUUAGAAGGGCAAAUCAUAGUAAAGCUUGAGAAAUAGAGUGUUAAGGGUACAUGUUUUAGGGUUUGGAACAGCUCCCUCAAUUGUGAAAAGACAGAAGACUAUGUAUUGUCUACGUUCUUCUAAUGCCAACUUUAGUUACAACCCAUUUAGUUGCCAUGUAAAUGAUAUCAACAAUUUAAAAUUUGAAGUUUAAAGGAACAAAAUAAUUGUCUAAUGUUGCUGUUUAUGAAUUAAGUUGAGUGUGGUCUGAAUGUUUUUUAUUUUCUAGAGAAAGGAAAAUCAAAUUAUUGAGGCAAAGAGAAAUGCAAGUGAAUGAAAACUAAAGCCUUAUUUCAAAUCCUAAUUAACACCUAAUAUAUGAAUAAUUUGGUGAACAAAAAUUUAAUGAAGAAUUUGUGAGUGCAUGGAAUAUGGAACAGGAAUACAGAAAUGUGCAUAUCAAUUAGCCCAAAAACCCUAGCUUAUAUACAGGAGCGAGUUGUCCGGAUUGAAACUAAUCCGACGGCUACCAAAAUCCCACUACGCUAAUAUUAGUAUAUGGCAUCGUAGCCAUACACUUGGCCCUCACAUCAUCCCCUCCUUUCGGAAUAAUGGAAGGCCGUCAGGGUUCUCUUGUAGACAGGCCGGGAUCUGGAGGAAUGUCAGGAGGAGCAUCGGCAGAUCUGUAGACGGUAUUAACUGCUCCUGAUCCCUUUGUAUGAAGUGUUUUAACCACUGCACAUGAGCGGAUUCUUUCGGAUAAUGGUCCUGCAUUUAUAGUUAAGGUAUUUCAUGUUUUGACAUCUCGGUUGGGGAUACGCCACACUUUUACGAGUGCUUAUCAUCCACAAUCAGACGGUCUGGUGGAACGGCUCGUUCAGACAUUCAAAGGGAUGAUUGCGAAGUAUGUGAACUUUCAGCAUUCGGAUUGGGAUGGUUAUUUGCCGUCUCUUCGGUAUGCCUAUGUCACAGGGGUGCAGAGUUCUGUUGGUGCUUCACCAUAUAAACUUUUAUAUGGUCAUGAUCCAAUAUUACCAACAGAGCUGGGUUUACCUUUGCGAUUGCCACGAGCUCCUGAUACUAGGUCAUGGGAUCAAUAUUUGACAAGCAUUCUUCCACUUGUCCGAGCAGAGUCUGCUGAACACUUAGGCCGCGUACAAAUGGGACAACAACGGCGCUACAAUUCCCAUCAUCGUCCACCUGCGGAGUACAAAGUGGAUGAUUUGGUGUUAGUCCAUUUUCCCCAUCUUACGGUACGUGGUUUAUCUAAGGGGCUCCUUGCGCAAUGGAAAGGACCGUAUCGGGUGUUGCGGCAAGUUGGACCACAAGUUUAUGAGGUUCGGCAUGACGUUCAGCCUGGACAAGUAUGCUGGAACACCACUCGAUUGAGGAGGAAGUAUCCAACACCAGUUGCAGAGGCACUAGCAAGAGCACCAACUUCCACCCAACGAGUCAAAUAGUCAGAAGCAAUAAUAACAUACUCAUUGCCAGCAGUCGAUCGUGGAAAAGGUCCCAUAAGAUCAAAUGCCACCAACUCAAACGGACGAGAAACUGCAAUUGACUCCAACUGUCCUUCUGCAGCAUAAGGGGGAGUAUUACGAGCUUGGCACCAAACGCAGCUACGCACAUACCGGAUAAUAUCACGUCGCAUCUCUGGCCAAUAGAAAGAUCUACGCAGCUUCUCGGUGACACGACGGUGUCCCAUAUGCCCACCUAGAAUAGGAGAAUCAUGGUAGGCAUGGAGAAACCGCGGAAUAAACACCGAAGGCACCACCAGCCGUAAAUGAUCAUCAGGAUCCAUCCCCAUAAAAUAAAGAAGGCCAUCUUCAAGACGAUAUUGAGAAUGUAAAUGCCGGAAAGGCAAGUCAUCAGCAAGUGAUGCAGGAUUCUCAAACCCAUCUCAAAGCCUUCGAAUCCACGGCUCAAUCUUUUGAGCCUCGCGAACCUCAUCAAGAGAAGGUAGAUCUUGCUCUGCACCCUGUGGACACUGAACGUCAAGGACAGCAACCGCCGACGGCAUAGAAUCCUCAUCUAGAAAAUCCAUAGAUGCUGGAACAACAGGUUCGUCAGAAACAUGAGAAGUGAGUGGAGAAGGAAGAGGAGCUCGAGAAAGGGCAUCAGCAUCAGCCAUAGAACUCCCUGGGCGAUGAACAACAUCGAAAUCAUAUAUCUGAAGCUUCAAAGCCCAUCGAGCCGUACGACCAACCAAGUUCUUCCGCUUCAAUAAUGAAGUAACAGCAGCAUGGUCACCUUCAAGUAACGUCCGAGAACCAUGUAGAUAUGCAUGAAGUUUCUUGAAACCCCAGACUACUGCUAAACACUCCUUCUCCGUCGUGGAGUAGUUCAUCUCCGCUGGUUGUAAUGUACGGCUUAUGUAUGCAAUGGGAUGGCGCUGACCAGGCACACUCGAGCUCUCUUGCAUCAACACACCUCCAAGACCAAUGUCAGAAGCAUCCACGCGCAAAAUAAAAGGUCGAGUGUAGUCAAGAUAUGCCAAAACCGGAGGAGUCGUCAAUAGCUCUUUGAGAUUCACGAACACCCGCUCACAAUCCGGAGACCAGAUGAAAGAUGACGUUGAUGACUUCAGCAACGCUCGCAAUGGUGUAGUGCGAUCGGGAAGAUGAUCCAUAAAACGACCGAGAUACUGCACCUUACCCAAAAAGCGCUGCACAUCAUUCACACACUUCGAAGUAGGGAACUUUAGAAUAGCCACAAGUUUGUUAGGAUCAACUUGCAAACCCUCACGAGAAAUACGAUACCCAAGAUAAGUUGUGUCCUUGGACCCAAACACGCACUUUGACCGCUUUAGCUUUAAACCAUCGUCGCGUAGCCGAUCCAACACUUUACAAACAUCACGAACGUGCUCCUCCCACGUCCCCUCCGAGUGGAUCAAGACAUCAUCAAUGAAGUCAGCCGUCACCUCCGGCAUAUCGCAAAGAACCUCGUCCAUCAUCCGUUGAAAAGUUGCUGGAGCAUUGUUCAAACCAAACGGCAUCACCAAGAACUCGUACAAACCAAAUGGUGUACAAAAAGCAGUUUUAGGAAUAUCUUCUUCGGCCAUCGGUACUUGCCAAUACCCAGAAGCAAGAUCUAGCUUGGUGAACCAACGACUUCGCCCCAGAUGAUCCAAGAGAUCAGCAGUGUGAGGAAGAGGGUACACGUCCGGGAUCGUCACUUCAUUUAACGGACGAUAGUCGAUGCAGAAACGAAUACUCCCAUCAGGCUUCAUCACAAGAUGAGGUUCACAUGCCCAAGGACUCCACGACUUCCGGAUAACACCCUUCUCCAACAUCUCCUUGACGUUUGCACGUAAAAUCUUGAUCUCUUUGGGUGACCGACGACGAACAGGAACCUUGAUUGGAUGAGCAUCCCCAGUUGGAAUGGGAUGACGUGUGGCAAUCUUGGCCCCAGACGAUAGGUCAAAUUCAAAGAGAUCAGAAUACUCCUUCAUGAGCUGGUCAAUAGCUGCAGCACAAAGAUCAUCGGAGGGAUCGAAAAAGGGAAGAGCAGAACAAGAUGGAAACACAAGAGGAAAUAGUGGGGGAACAAAAGUAAUGGAAGCAAAGGUAAAAGGAAAGGGACGAAGAGGUACAGAAGUGAGAGGAAUGGAUGAAACAUAAGGAAGUAUGAGACAAGGGGGAGAAGCCUUAAAGUCACACUUGGCAUGAUUGUGCUGCAACCAAUCUAUACCAAGAAUGAGGUCAAAAGCUUGACUCGGCACCACCUGCAACGACUGCAACUCAAGCUUAAGAUCGCCCACACGCACAAUCAGGUCCGCCUCAUCUCGUGCAUAUGCAUGUGUACGGCCAUUGCCAUAAAGAAUGAAAACUGAAUCCGCCGCACGACGCAAGUGUAGACGACAACGUGUGGCAACAGGUCGAGCAAUAGAAGAUAAACUCGAACCUGUAUCAACCAACACGGAGAGAAGAAUAGGAGACCUCUUGUUAUAAAAACGAGCUUGGAAAGUAAACACUGGAUGAACCGGUGCCGAGUGAACCCCUUGAUGAUACUCCCGAAAGAAAGAUGGAGGGGUCACUAACUUAUUCGCGCAAGGUCCCUCCAUUACUCGUGCGACUCUUCGUUUCCCGAAUGCACCUCGGUAUCUAAACCUUCCACCGCAGCAGCACCAACGGGACGUUGUUGACGCCAAGGUCUCCACCCAGGAAAUGGAGGUCGCCAAUCCGGAAAGCGCCGACAACGCCGAUAAGUAUGACCAACUUCAUCACACGCCCAGCAGCGAACAUCACGGCCACGACCACAUCCUCGCCCUUGUCCUUGGACUCGAGUAGCAGCAGCAUCAACCUCCAUGGGAAUAGGACCAUCACUCAUAAGAAGUGGAGCUGAAGGACAUGUAGCAAGAAGUGGAAGAGGCGACGUCUCAUAACGUUGUGCCAAGCGAAGAGCAUCAUCAAGGGUGGCAGGAGCAAGUGCAUGCACAAGGCCAACAAGAUCUUGACGAAGUGCUGGCCACAACAUUCCUAGCUUGAUCCGCUCCGAUAUAUUAGGCUCCGCACGAAGCAAAAGACUUCGGAAACGAACGCCAAAUUGCAUCACCGACUCAGAUGGCCCUUGGCGAAGAUGAUGCAAUUGUUGGAAGGCAUCGUCACAAUCGUCGGCAUGUCCGAAAGCACAUUUGAAGACGUCCGGAAGAACACUCCAAUCCCCACGAGUGGCCGCACUCAAUCCAUUGUACCACUGUAACACCAUCCCUUGGAGACACGUGGGAAACUCACGCAAACGUCGAGCAUCAUUCCAAGAAUGAUAUGUGGCAAUCACCGUGAAGUGAUCGAACCAAUGGUACACAUUAUCCCCAGGAUUCCCACGAAUGAACUCCGGCCGAACGCGAGGAUUGGCACCAAGAGCAGGAGGAGUUGGAACACGUCCCGUGAAUGCUGCCAUCAAUUGAGUUUGGUUGUUCAAUUGCAAGCGUAUAGCAUCAAGCAAUUGAACCAACUGCUGCUCUAGAGUCAAAGGAGGAAAUUGCGGAUCGGCCAUGAAGAUGAACGAAAAAGAAAGAGCAAAAGAAGAGAAAUGACAAAAGCUGGAAAGAAAUGGUAGAUCUAUACAAUGCAAAAAGCUAAAUCUAAACCAAAAUCCUGAAAGAAAAGAACAAAAGAAAGGAAAUGGAAAAAGCUAAAUCUAGACGAUACAAAAGCUAGAUCUAAACCGAAAUCCCAAAUCCAAGCACUCCCCAGGGACAAUCAAAGGUACCCCUCACCUCCACCAAUGUGAGCGCAUGGAAUAUGGAACGGGAAUACAGAAAUGUGCAUAUCAAUUAGCCCAAAAACCUUAGCUUAUAUACAGGAGCGAGUGGUCCAGAUUGAAACCAAUCCGACGGCUACCAAAAUCCCACUACGCUAAUAUUAGUAUACGGCAUCGUAGCCGUACACUUGGCCCUCACAAAUUGAAUUUAAAUUAGUGAAUAAAAAAAUAGAUAUCGUAGCUGUACACUUGGCCCUCACAAUAUGUGUUUAGAGUUUCUCAUAAAUUCUCUAAUAGUAUUUUGAAGUUUUUCCAUGAUUAAAACACUUUUUUCAUUUUAAAAUAAUAAUCACUAUUUUCUAUUUUACUUUUGCCUUUGGUUUUCUUCAAGAUAAUUGUUUUGUCUUCAUCCAAUUAGUCAGCUUUUUUGUCUCUAUUCUCCAUUAAGUCAACUAUAAUUCUAAUAAAUCCAUUAUAAUAUGCUUUGUGACAUUUAGUUUUUGAAAAAGUACUUAUUCAUUUUUUUAAUCUUAUCUUACCUCAAUGUUACAAUUAAAAAAAUUAGAAAUAGAGAUACACACAUAUAUUUUUUAUUUCCACUUAUCUUAGCUCAAUGUUACAAUAAAAACUUAGAAAUAGAGAUACACACAUAUAUUUAUUUCUUCCAGCAAUUUAUUUUUUUCUAAGAUAUUAUCAAAAUUAGGGAAAAAUUUGACAACAAAUAAAUUCUCUUGUACUUGGGGAGUAUUUUUGAAAAAUCCCUUAAUAUCUUAAUUUGAAUAUAUUAAAUUUUUUAUCCACUUUUGAUAUUGUUUUUAUCUUUACUACUUAUACUAUUUUCUUAACAAGUGGGGUUACUACUCAAUCUAAAUUGUGGAAGAGAGAAAUAAAUCAAAAAUAAAGUUUCAAAAAAUAAAAAAGCUUUAACAAGAAAGCAAAAAGAAGAAGCCUCAACUACCAGUUAAAAGGGCUAAACUAAUGGUUAAGAGAGUGAGAUAAACUAUUAAAGAACCUAUUGAAUUUGGUUGUGAGAAUGGGAUAAAUUACAAUAAAAUUUAUCAAGAAAGUAGGUUAAAUUUUUGAGAAUUUGGUAGUGAACUAAAUCUUUCAUGAAAGAAUGGUAUAAAAUCUUGGUGCAUUAGAUGAGGGUAACAAAAAAAAACUUUCACAAUAGCUAUAUUCAAUAAAAAAUUUAAAACAUCAAGUAGAUUUAGAGAGGGAGGAAUAAAUAAUAAUUUUUUUUUCAUUUUAAAAAGUUUUUUCCCUAUUUUUUGGCACUAGUGACUACUUAGUAAAUAUUGUUUACUUAUAUAGCAAUUUUUAUUACAUAACAAUUGGUUAAAAAAACAUUAAAUUUGAAGGUGUAGGAUCAAGCAACUUGAGACAUCAAGAUGCAUGAAACCAAAAUAAUGACACUGAACACUUCUAUCCUCCUAUCACAAAUCUUCAAUACAUGGCCUAUUUGUUUUCAGGAACUUAGCCUUAGAUGGAGGAGAAAACACAUACAUCCCCAAUACAGUUCCACUGUAUAGAAAGUUAUACUUCAGCAAGCCAAUUGUAGAUUUUCUAGCUCAAGCACUAAGCCUUCUAUUGUUACCACCUUUUCUCAAGUUAGGUGCCAAUUUUCUAAUGGAGUGAACUUUGCAUUUCCUAGGGUAGGCAUAUUAGAUGAAACAAAUGCCCUUCAAGCAUGUAUCCAUCUUCUAUAGUUGGUUUUGAUUCUUUUUAACAUCAGAAAUGAUAACAAAAAGGAGAAGGGUUUGGAAUAGCUUUUUGAGGAAUUCUGUGGCUUUGUUUAGCAUGAUCAAAGUUACUCAACAAUAUCAGCACAAAGUGGGAACACCAAUUUAAUUUUACAGAAAUCAUUACUUCUGUGGAAUCAUACAAAAUUGUUUAGAAUUUUGUUGUGAAAGUCACAAUGAUUGUUAUGACUUGAAUGUUGCUCCAUCUCUUAUUAUAGUAAUUAAGUUGAGAAAUCCUUAAAAAUAUCAUACACAAAUAUGAUAAUACAUCAUUCCAUUCAUAUUAACAUGUUUAUAUGAAUCUAGGUUUCAAAGAGGCAGAUAGUGGUAGACUUUUUGAUGUAGUUGAGUUUUAUAAGAAUGCUAUUGAAACAAAACCACAAAAAUAUAUAUGCUAACAGUCCUAAGGAUUAUUUAAUGACUAUUUUACCAUGGAAAGGAAAAGUGAGAUCCUGUAGAGUGAUGUUUUAGAAUAUUAAAAUGUGCUAAAGUACUUUUGAUAUGAAUUUAUCAAUUUCUUUUUUCAAAUAAUUAUUCUAGAUCCCACUUUUAACUAAAUUCUAUUAAGAGAAUUAAUUUUUUAAAAAAUGCUAAGUUCUCUUUAAAACAUUUUAACAUCCAAGUAAUAUAAAAAAUUUUACUAACCUUUGGCUUUCCACAUCAAUGUAAAGUGGCACAUUGGUUUGUGAUGGUCAUUGGACAAUGUUGACAAUGAUAGGCAUUGCUACACUCGUUUUUUUAACGAGCUGUUUAUGCAUGAUGCACAAAUGAAUAGUUAUCACAUCUAUCUCCCAAACCAGACCCUGGAUUCACAGAAGAAGAGAUCUUAAGGUGAUCAUAUCACAAGAGUUUGUGUUUCUUUAUAUGGAAUAGCUAGGUAUAGAAUUUAUUUAUACUAAUAAAGAUAAAAAUGUUUUUAGAUUGUGAGUGCAAUGGAAUAUGGAAAGAGAAUACAAAAAAUGUGUAUAUCAAUUAGCCCAAAAACCUAGCUUAUAUAUAAUAGUGAGUGGUCAAGAUUGAAGUUAAUCUAACAAUUACUAAAAUUUUACUACAUUAAUAUACGGCAUUAUAGCUAUACACUUGGACCUCACAUCACUCCCUCUUCACAGAAUGAUGGAAGACCAUCAGAGUUCUCUCAUGGAUGGGUUGGGAUUUGGAGGAACAUCAAGAAGAGGCAUUGGUAGAAUUGUAGAUGGUGCCAAUUAUUCCUGAUCCCUUUAUACAAAACGUUUUAAUUACUAUAUCUGCAUAAUUUCUGGAGGAUCGACUUGUUAAAUGUCAUGUUGAACUUUAUAAACUUUCAAUUCAACUUGUUGUAACACUUUAUAUAGACCUUUCUAUUGAGCAAGGAGCCUUUUAGAUAAACCGUAUACCAUAAUAUUGGGAAAACAAAUUAACAUCAAUUCAUUCACUUUGUAUUCUGUAGAUGAAUGAUGAUGGGAGUUGUAUUAUUGUUGUUAUCUCACUUGUACACAGCCCAGGUGUUUGGCAGACUUUGCUCAAACAAGUGGAAGAAUGCUCAUCAAAUACUAAUCCCACAACCUAGUAUCAGCAACCCACAGCAAUCGCAAAGGUAAACCCAACUUUGUUAGUAGCAUUAAAUCAUAACAAUAUAAAAGUUUAUAUAGUGAAGCACCAAUAAAACUUUAUACCUUUAUAACAUACGCAUACUAAAGAAACGACAAAUAACCAUCUCAAUGUGAAUGCUGAAAGUUCACAUACUUCACGAUCAUCUUUUUGAAAGUUUAAAUCCUUCCACCAAACUAUUUGAUUGUGGAUGGUAAACACUUGUGAAAGUGUGGUGUAUCCCCAACUAAGACGUUAAAUCACGUCUUGAUUUUCAUGGUCAAAUGGAAGAAAUACUAACUGGAGGUGGCCACUUUCAGCUCUUACACGCUCAAAGCCUUGAAGUUACUUUUGUCCAUGGCCUGACAGCUUGUCUAUAUGAUAAUCACUGAACUGUAGCAGAGAGACACUUACGUCAGAUAAAAGCUCAAGAACUCUAUCCUGACUUUCCUUGACUUGGGAUUCAGAAAAGCUUUCCAGCUUCUUGACAUUGCCAAGAGGAUUGAAGAGCUCAUAGACAUCCUGCAAUGUUCUUUCAAUGAAAGAGAAGAAAACUUGAAACAGUAGACCAGAUGCUGUAGCUUACAGUGAGAUUCUCUUGUCUAGAGCGAUACUGCAAGGCAAUUAUUUGCUCCAGCUUGUCACAAAGCAGCAGAAAAUCAUCCCAAUGCGCUGAAAAGGCAAGGGGUCUUAUAAACCAAAAUGCUACGCAAUCUAGUACCCUGACCGAUAAGAAGAACAGAGCUUGGAGAUGAGCUCCUUCUUGGGAAUCUCAAUCACAAUCUCCAGCUUGAGGCGGAUGCUGUGGUCCUCCACUCGCAGUUCGAUCUCCGACCUGUCCCUGUGACAAGAAGCACAAUCAGGGGCGGACGAGAAAGAUGAAAGAAUCAAACAUACGCAGUGUACUUACAUUGCUUUGGCAAGAAUAGAGGGAGGGCGCCUCCGCCCAGCUGCAUUUUGUUCGCGGCAACACCAUCGCUUUGCUUGCUGCCAACUCGUGAAUCUCCUCCUUGCGGAUCAAGGAAGAAAAUAAAAAAUAUUAGGGCUCUACAUUUGAGUUAGUGACGUGGAUUAGGGCAUGCGAGGUGGGCCCGUUAAGGGUAACUAGCUGUUUCUCGAAUAUGCUUACUUUAAUACCCUUUCUAUUAUUAGGCGCCCUUACCCUAACCCUAACCCUUCUAACCCUUAAGCAUGACGUCACGGUCAAUGUCCGCUGUGCAAAAUUCAGAGUUGGUUGGCUUCGUAAGUUGGACAUAUUUUCUGGACAUAAUGCGAGUGCUCAAAGAGCUUCUUGUCGUCAAGCUCCACAUAAGCCAAAAUUUUCUCCUUGCAAAACAGGUUUCGCACGCGCAACGUAGUCUUCAAAUAAAUUACAGCCAGGGGACUCUGUUCCUCGUCUCCAUUGAUCGCAGGAACUCAGUCCGAAUGGGCAAGGCGAUUUGCGUGACUGGAGCUGGUGGUUUCAUUGCUUCGUGGAUUGUUCGUGAUCUUCUUAACAAGGGCUUUUCAGUUCAUGGCACUGUCCGCGAUCCAGGUUCUGGUUUGUUGUCUUUGUUCCAGAUCUAGUGAUGGUGGCUUUCAGAUGACAACGCCAAGUGUGGACAUCUUAAGCAACUGGAUGGAAGCAAGAGACUAAAACUACAUAAGGCUGAUGUGCUCGACUAUGACUCAAUCGCUGACGCGAUUCGGGACUGUGAAGUUGUGUUCCAUACUGCUUGCCCUGUAACCGCAUCGACUGAGAAUCCAGAGGUAGUCUCCUAUUUCAUUUCUUUUCUCUGGAUAAGGCUGACUGUGUAAUUGAGUCCCAGGAUGUUUUGGUGCCAGCAAUCACCGGCACUCGCAACGUGUUGCAGGCCUGCGCACAGGAGAGGGUCAAACGGGUCAUUGUCACGUCGUCCGCGGCUGCGGUGAUGUUCGAUCCAAAUCGGCCUGCGAAAAAAAUUGUCGACGAGAGCUGCUGGUCUGAUUCUGACUACUGUACAAAGCUCAAGGUAAACUUAUCCUCACCCUCGACGAAGUUACUGUGUUGUACUCACUGAAACUCUUGUUUCAAGCAAUGGUAUCUUUUAGCCAAGACGGAGUCUGAGAAGCUAGCGUGGAGUCUCUCCAAGGAGUACGGCCUUGACCUCAUCACGAUCUGCCCCUCGUACGUGUUUGGCCCGAUGCUCCAGCCAACGCUGAAUCUCAGCAGUGCGGUCUUGAAGGCUCUCGUGGAUGGUUUGUGCUUUAAAAAUGCUUCAGAAGCCUGAUCGAUGUGUCUUGUUUCCCCAGGUCAUGAAAGCAGCUACCGUGAUUCCUCCAUUCCGUGAUUCCUCCAUUCCCGUUGUGGACGUGAGGGACGUCUCGAAAGCUCACAUUCUGGCCAUGGACAAGGAGGAGGCCUCGGGCCGCUAUCUCUGCGUGGAAACGGUUGUGUCCAACAGCGAGAUUAUCAAGAUUCUCAGGGCCAAGUUCCCGCAGCUUCCAUAUCCAAAAGAGUAAGCGUCUCUAGUUCGUUUCUGCCGAUAUCUAUAAAGCUAGAAACUCUAGGUGCGUUGCUGAGACGAGCGUUUGGAACCAAUCGGGAAUCCGUCCCGACAAUCUGGGAAGAGAGAAGCUCUUGGGGCUAAUCACUGAGUUUGAUAUACCAUUGGAACGGAUGCUGCUUGACGCUGUUUCCGACAUGCUAAACAAGGGACUGUUAAGAGCCAUCUGAUUUACCGGAGAUUAGAAACAUCGGGUCUACCAUCUCCCAUAUAAGGACUUCAAUUUGUGUCCUGGAAAAUGAAACAAGUUCCUAUUUGUGUUUAUUCUCUCUGUACAGAUUACUGGCUCCAAGUCUUUAGGUGUGAAAGAACUUGCUUGAAGAGACAGAUCUACACUCCCAAAUAAAGAACCCAGCAAAACCAAGAACAAAAACUCCAAGAACACGAAUAUCAUGCUUCAUCAAAGUCGCAUAGUCUCAAAGCCUUCAACCGAAGCUUAAAUCGUCCGGGUGCCGCACAAGCUAGCUCGAUGUUGCUGUGUUUCUCCAGUCCAUAAUUCACGACAUCACUCGAGACAUGUUUGGUUGCCUGGUCAGAAAGUUCUCGAGGAAGACUGAGGCUAAAACCACCAAAAAUCUCGACGACUGUCACCUGUGGUUUUGAUCUUGAUGCAAACUCUUCUCUCCACGCCACCAAUCUUCCGCUGCUUACAAUCCUCCUUACUUGCUCCUCAUCGAAGCCAAAGUGGCGGUACCACGAAAGCACCAGCGCUUGGGACGCAGGAUUGAGCACUGCCAGCGGCGGCGACCACGGCAAAAAUCCUUGCUUCUCCGUGUCUAGCAGCUCGAUCUCUGGAUUGAAGCGUCUCAUCGCCGCCAGACCCAAGCUAUACAUCCUCUCACUGUUGGUUUGCCUGUGCCGGUACGUGCUCGACUCCAAAUCCCACUGCAAGACCGUGAGAGCCUCCACCAGGCUCACAUCUCGCUCCUUGGAGGCCUCGAUGCACCACAAGAUCGUCCCCAGCACACGGACAAGGCUGUUGUCUCUUCGCGCCUGGAAGAUCCCACACGGAUACGCAGCUCCAGCUCCUGUGAACUGGAACUCUCCACUGUAAACUGGCAGGAAGUUCCUCUCCUCUCCUGGAGCGCACACCGAGCAAGCCAUGUCGUCCACCAUGAUGGUUUGCUCCAUGUCCACCUCGAUCGCCGUGGGGAGAUCCCGGAGCCUCUUGAUCACUGUGAAUCCGUCCACCCGGUAGAGAUGGUUCUGCGAGAAGACACUGCAAUCCUUGAGGCCUCCUGCUGCUGUGCAUGCUGGGAAAAUGUCGGCCAGGAGGCUUGCAACGAGCAGCGAGUUUCGCGAUUCCGGGCCGAAGCUGAAGAAGCUGACGCUCAUACCUGGGAUUUGGCUGAGCGCGAGUAGAAACUCGCGGCAUCCAUGCAGCGGCGCGUAGGAAUCGCCACCGGCAGAGUGUUUGCCGCCGCGAUCGAGGCGGACAAGCGUCCGGUCGAGGUCCAAGAGCACCUGCAUGCUCAAUAACCCUAGAACUUUUAUUUAUUUUAGGGUUUUAGACUGGAAGCAGGAUGUUAGACGGCGAGGGUAUUUAUAUGGAUGAGAGCUUUGGGCAAGCCUAUGCCCAACAUAAGAGAGACGAAAGGAGAAAUGACAAAAGAAGCUUCUCAUCGCUCACCAUACUUCUGGAGAAAAGACCCUUCGUUCCUCUUCAUCCAAAUCCAUUCUCACUCUUCAUUCUUCAAAUACCCACUCAUUAUUUUUUUCUUGCCUUUGUCCUUUGAAAAGACCUUUGGAACUGUAGCCUCUCCGAUCACCAAUCUGCAAGUUUAUGUUGAUCUCAACAUGGAAUAGAUUUAGAUGAUUCUCAUCCUGCUCUUAAACAUUUUUUCACUGUAGUUAAAUAGAAGUUAGAUCUAAGUAGGGCAAAUCAUAGUAAAGCUUGAGAAAUAGAGUGUUAAGGGUACAAGUUUUAGGGUUUGGAACGGUUCCUCAAUUGUGAAAAGACAGAAGACUAUGUAUUGUCUACAUUCUUCUAAUGCCAACUUUAGCUACAACCCAUUCGGUUGCCAUCAUCCAUGGUGGCAGAAUCCAGCCUGUAUUUGUUUAUGUUGGCUCCACUUGCUAAAAGUGCUUAUACCCCUAUACCUCCUAGCUGUAUAAUACAGAUGAUAUCAAAUAUCUAUGUAGCAAAUUUUCAUUCGUUCUAAAUUUUUCCAACAAUUAACCAGAUCUCUACUAAUGAUAACACCUUGAAGAAUCUUGUGUGUGUGGUUUGUGUUUGUCUACUACACAAUCUUUGCAUCAUUCACAAACUUGAUAAUGCUAGAUUAGUGAGGCUCACAAGAGUUACAGGCUUCUCAAGCUUUUGAGAUGUAAAUGAUAUCAACAAUUUAAAAUUUAAAGUCUAAAGGAUUAAAAUAAUUGUCUAAUGUUGCUGUUUAUGAAUUAAGUUGAGUGUGGUCUAAAUGUUUUUUUUCCAGAGAAAGAAAAAUCAAAUUAUUGAGGCAAAGAGAAAUGCAAGUGAAUGAAAACUAAAGCCUUAUUUCAAAUCCUAAUUAACACCUAGUAUAUGAAGAAUUUGGUGAACAAAAAUUUAAUGAAGAAUUGAAUUUAAAUUAGUGAUUUAAAAAAUAGAUAUGUGUUUAGAGUUUCUCAUGAAUCCUCUUAUAGUGUUUUGAAGCUUUUCCAUGAUUUAAACACUUUUUUCAUUUUUAAAUAAUAAUCACUAUUUUCUAUUUUAUUUUUGCCUUUGGUUUUCUUCAAGAUAAUUUUUUUGUCUUCAUCCAAUUAGUCAGCUUUUUUGUCUCUAUUCUCCAUUAAGUCAACUAUAAUUCUAAUAAAUCCAUUAUAAUAUGCUUUGUGACAUUUAGUUUUUGAAAAAGUACUUAUUCAUUUUUUUAAAACUUAUAUUACCCCAAUGUUACAAUAAAAAAAAUAGAAAUAGAGAUUUACACAUAUAUUUGUUGUUUCUUCUUAUCUUAGCUCAAUGUUACAAUAAAAAAUUAGAAAUAGAGAUACACACAUAUAUUUGUUUCUUCCAGCAAUUUAAUUAUUUUCUAAGCCAUUAUUAAAAUUAGGGAAAAUUUUGAUUAUUUUAUCUUUACUACUUAUACUUCUUCCUUUGCUUUCUUGUUAAAACUUUUUUAUCUUUUGAAACUUUCUUUUCGAUUUAUUUCUCUCUUUCACAAUUUAGAUUGAGCAGUUAAAUCCCACUUGCUAAAAAAAUAGCCCCAACUACCAGUUAAAAGGGCUUAACUAUUUGUUAAGAGAGUGAGAUAAACUGUUAAAGAAUCUAUUGAACUUGGUUAUGAGAAUGGGAUAAAUUACAAUAAAACUUAUUAAGAAAGUAAAUUAAAUUUAUGAGAAUUUAGUUAUGAACUAAAUCCUUCAUGAAAGAAUGGUAUAAGAUCUUGGUGCAUUAGAUGAGCGUAACAAAAAGAAACUUUCACAAUAGCUAUAUUCAAUAAAGAUUUUAAAACAUCAAGUAGAUUUAGAGAGAGAGAGGAAUAAAUAACAAUGUUUUUUCAUUUUUAAAAGUUUUUUCCCUAUUUCUUGGCACUAGUGACUACUUAGUAAAUAUUGUUUACUUAUAUAGCAUUUUUUAUUACAUAACAAUUGGUUAAAAAAACAUUAAAUUUGAAGGUGUAGGAUCAAGCAACUUGAGACAUCAAGAUGCAUGAAACCAAAAUAAUGACAUUGAACACUUCUAUCCUCCUAUCACAAAUCUCCAAUACAAGGCUUGUUUGUUUUCAAGAACUCAACCUUAGAUGGAGGAGAAAACACAUAUAUCCCCAAUGCAAUUCCACUGCAUGGAAAAACAUACUUCAGCAAGUUGAUUGUAGAUUUCCUGGCUCAAGCACUAGGCCUUCCAUUAUUACCACUUUUUGUCAAGCUAGAUGCCAAUUUUUUAAUAGAGUGAACUUUGCAUUUGCUAGGGUAGGCAUAUUAGAUGAAACAAAUGCCCUUCAAGCAUGUAUCCAUAUUCUAUAGUUAAUCUUAAUUCUUUUUAACAUCAGAAAUGAGAACAAAAAGGAGAAGGGUUUGGAGUAGCUUUUUGAGGAAUUCUGUGGCUUUGUUUAGCAUGAUCAAAGUUACUCAACAAUAUCAGCACAAAGUGGGAACACCAAUUUAAUUUUACAGAAUUCAUUAACACUUCUGUGAAAUCAUACAAAAUUGUUCUAGAAUUUUGUUGUGAAAGUCACAAUGAUUGUUAUGACUUGAAUGUUGCUCCAUCUCCUGUUAUAAUAAUUAUGUUGAGAAAUCCUUAAAAAUAUCAUACACAAAUAUGAUAAUACAUCAUUCCAUUCAUAUUAACAUGUUUAUAUGAAUCUAGGUUUCAAAGAGGCAGAUAGUGGUAGACUUUUUGAUGUAGUUGAGUUUUAUAGGAAUGCUAUUGAAACAAAACCACAAAAAUAUAUAUAUGCUAAAUUUAUAUAUGACAGUCCUAAGGAUUACUUAAUGACUAUUUCACCAUGGAAAGGAAAAGUGAGACCCUUUAGAAUAUUAAAAUGUGCUAAAGUACUUUUAAUAUGAAUUUACAACAUUACAAGGCUUAACAAUCAAUUUCUUUUUUCAAAUAAUUAUUCUAGAUCCCACUUUUAACUAAAUUCUAUUCAGAGAAUCAAUUGUUUAAAAAAUGCUAAGUUCUCUUUAAAACAUUUUAACAUCCAAGUAAUAUAAAAAUUUUUACUAACCUUUGGCUUUCCAUAUCAAUGUAAAGUGGCACAUUGGUUUGUGAUGGUCAUUGGACAAUGUUGACAAUGAUAGGCAUUGCUACACUCGUUUUUUUAAGGAGCUGUUUAUGCAUGAUGCACAGAUGAAUAGUUAUCACAUCUAUCUCCCAAACCAGACCCUGGAUUCACAGAAGAAGAGAUCUUAAGGUGAUCAUAUCACAAGAGUUUGUGUUUCUUUAUAUGGAAUAGCUAGGUAUAGAAUUUAUUUAUACUAAUAAAGAUAAAAAUGUUUUUAGAUUGUGAGUGCAAUGGAAUAUGGAAAGAGAAUACAAAAAAUGUGUAUAUCAAUUAGCCCAAAAACCUAGCUUAUAUAUAAUAGUGAGUGGUCAAGAUUGAAGUUAAUAUGAUGACUACCAAAAUCUCACUAAACUCAUAUUAAUAUAUGGCAUUAUAGCUAUACAGUUGAACCUCACAUCACUCCCUCUUCUCGGAAUGAUGGAAGACCAUUAGGGUUCUUUCGUGGAUGGGUUGGGAUCCAAAGGAACAUCAGGAGGAGGCAUUGAUAGAACUGUAGGUGGUGUUAAUUAUUCUUGAUCUCUUUAUACAAAGUGUUUUAGCUACUGCAUAUACAUAAUUUUUGGAGGAUCGAUCUGCUAGAUGUCAUGCCAAACCUCAUAAAUUUGCAAUCCAACUUAUUACAACACCCGAUAUAAACCUUUCCACUGAGCAAGAAACCUUUUAGAUAAACGCAUACCAUAAUAUUGAGAAAACAAACAAACACUAAUUCAUCCACUUUGUAUUCUAUAGGUGGAUGAUGAUGGGAGUUGUAUUAUUGUUGUUGUCCCACUUGUACAUAGCUUAGGCAUUUGGUAGAUUUUACUCAAACAAGUGGAAAAAUGUUCAUCAAAUACUGAUCCCAUGACUUAGCAUUGGUAACCCACAGCAAUCCCCAAGGUAAACCCAACUUUGUUGGUAGUAUUGGAUUAUAACUAUAUAGGAAUUUAUAUGGUGAAGCACCAAUAAAACUUUACACCCUUAUAAAUACGCAUACCAAAGAGACAGUAAAUAACCAUCUUAAUUUGAAUGUUGAAAAUUCAUUUACUUCACGAUCAUUUUUUUGAAAGUUUAAAUAAACCAUUCCACCAAACCAUUUGACUGUGGAUAAUAAACACUAGUGAAAGUGUAAUGUAUCCUCAACUAAAACAUCAAAUCACAUCUUGAUUUUUCAUGGUCAAAUGUAAAAAAUACUAACUAGAGGUUGCCACUUUCAACUCUUGCGUGCUCAAAGCCUUGAAGUUACUUUUGUCCAUGGCCUGAGAGCUUGUCUAUAUUAUAAUCACUGAACCAUAGCAGGAAAAGUGAGAGACACUUAUGUCAGAUAAAAGCUCGAGAAAUCCAUCCUGACUUUCCUUGACUUGGGCUUCAGAAAAGCUUUCCAGCUUCUUGACAUUGCCAACAGAAUUGAAGAGCUCAUAGACAUCCUGCAAUGUUCUUUCAAUGAAAGAGAAGAAAACUUGAAACAGUAGACCAGAUGCUGUAGCUUACAGUGAGAUUCUCUUGUCUAGAGCGAUACUGCAAGGCGGUUAUUUGCUCCAGCUUGUCACAAAGCAGCAGAAAAUCAUCCAGAUGCGCUGAAAAGGCAAGGGGUCUUAUAAACCAAAAUGCUAUGCAAUCUAGUACCCUGACCGAUAAUGGAAGAACAGAGCUUGGAGAUGAGCUCCUUCUUGGGAAUCUCGAUCACAAUCUCCCGCUUGAGGCGGAUGCUGUGGUCCUCCACUCGCAAUUCGAUCUCCGCCCUGUCCCUGUGACAAGAAGCACAAUCAGGGGCAGGCGAGAAAGAUGAAAGAAUCAAACAUAUUACAUUGCUUUGGCAAGAAUAGAGGGAUGGCGCCCCCGCCCAGCUGCAUUUUGUUCGCGGCAGCGCCAUCGCUUUGCUUGCUGCCUACUCGUGAAUCUCCUCCUUGCGGAUCAAGGAAGAAAAUAAAAAAUAUUAGGACAUUUCGCGGUUGAGAGCAUAUUAUCUUGACUGAAUGCCUAAUGACAUGGUGGGCCCGUCAAGGGUAACUAGCUGUUUCUCGAAUAUGCUUACUUUAAUUACCCUUUCUAUUAUUAGGCGCCCUUACCCUAGCCCUAACCCUUAAUAAGCAUGACGUGACGGCCGCUGCGCAAAAUUCAGAGUUGGUUGGCUUCGUAAGUUGGACAUAUUCUCUGGACAUAAUGCGAGUGCUCAAAGAGCUUCUUCUCUUCAAGCUCCACUUAAGCCAAAAUUUUCUCCUUGCAGUCAAGUAAAACAGUUCGCACGCGCAACGUAGUCUUCGAAUAAAUCUCUCCAUUGAUCGCAGGAACUCAGUCCGAAUGGGCAAGGCGAUUUGCGUGACUGGAGCUGGUGGUUUCAUUGCUUCGUGGAUUGUUCGUGAUCUUCUUAACAAGGGCUUUUCAGUUCAUGGCACUGUCCGCGAUCCAGGUUCUGGUUUGUUGUCUUUGUUCCAGAUCUAGUGAUGGUGGCUUUCAGAUGACAGCACCAAGUGUGGACAUCUAAAGCAACUGGAUGGAAGCGAGAGACUAAAACUACAUAAGGCUGAUGUGCUCGACUAUGACUCAAUCGCUGACGCGAUUCAGGACUGUGAAGUUGUGUUCCAUACUGCUUGCCCUGUAACCGCAUCGACUGAGAAUCCAGAGGUAGUCUCCUAUUUCAUUUCUUUUCUCUGGAUAAGGCUGACUGUGUUUUUGAGUCCCAGGAUGUUUUGGUGCCAGCAAUCACCGGCACUCGCAACGUGUUGAAGGCCUGCGCACAGGAGAGGGUCAAACGGGUCAUUGUCACGUCGUCCGCGGCUGCGGUGAUGUUCGAUCCAAAUCGGCCUGCGGAAAGAAUUGUCGACGAGAGCUGCUGGUCUGAUACUGACUACUGUACAAAGCUCAAGGUAAACUUAUCCUCACCCUCGACAAAGUUACUGUGUUGUACUCACUGAGACUCUUGUUUCAAGCAAUGGUAUCUUUUAGCCAAGACGGAGUCUGAGAAGCUAGCGUGGAGUCUCUCCAAGGAGUACGGCCUUGACCUCAUCACGAUCUGCCCCUCGUACGUGUUUGGCCCGAUGCUCCAGCCAACGCUGAAUCUCAGCAGUGCGGUCUUGAAGGCUUUCGUGGAUGGUUUGUGCUUUAAAAAUGCUUCAGAAGCCUGAUCGAUGUGUCUUGUU
This 23494-nucleotide long non-coding RNA is filed under the name Selaginella moellendorffii. RNAcentral describes it as "long non-coding RNA (SMOE_LNC001210)". The record is from RNAcentral. Lineage: Eukaryota; Viridiplantae; Streptophyta; Lycopodiopsida; Selaginellales; Selaginellaceae.